Molecule: ribosomal RNA, 157 nt
Filed under: Sphaerellopsis filum
Lineage: Eukaryota; Fungi; Ascomycota; Dothideomycetes; Pleosporales; Leptosphaeriaceae
Description: 5.8S ribosomal RNA
Rfam family: 5.8S ribosomal RNA
About the family: 5.8S ribosomal RNA (5.8S rRNA) is a component of the large subunit of the eukaryotic ribosome. It is transcribed by RNA polymerase I as part of the 45S precursor that also contains 18S and 28S rRNA.
Source: RNAcentral
AACUUUCAACAACGGAUCUCUUGGUUCUGGCAUCGAUGAAGAACGCAGCGAAAUGCGAUAAGUAGUGUGAAUUGCAGAAUUCAGUGAAUCAUCGAAUCUUUGAACGCACAUUGCGCCCCAUGGUAUUCCGUGGGGCAUGCCUGUUCGAGCGUCAUUU